AUUAGGUUUUGGUGCUAGGAUAAGGUUUAAGGUUUUUGGCGUUAGGGUUAAAAUCACUGUCCAAAACCUUUGUAGGAACUCCUUCCCAACCUUUUGGAGUUAGUUAAACCAAAAAAAAAAUUGAAAUAUGAAAAAGAAAUAUUUGGGGUGUUCGGGCUUCCUGAAGGUAAUACCCAGGUAUUAGGUUAUGGGGCUUUGGUAAGGUUUAAGGUUUUUGGCAUUAUGGUUAAAAUCACUGUCCAAAACCUUUGUAGGAACUCUUUUCCAACCUUUUGGAGUUAGUUAGACCUAAAAAAAACGAAAAAUGAAAAAAAAAUAUUUGGGGUGUUCGGGCUUCCUGAUGGUAAUACCCGGGUAUUAGGUUAUGGGGCUAGGGUAAGGUUUAAGGAUUUUGGCGUUAGAGUUAAAAUCACUGUCCAAAACCUUUGUAGGAACUCUUUUCCAACCUUUUGGAGUUAGUUAGACCAAAAUAAAACAAAAAAUGAAAAAAAAAUAUUUGGGGUUUUGGGGCUUCCUGAAGGUAAUACCCGGGUAUUAGGUUAUGGGGCUAGGGUAAGGUUUUUGGCGUUAGGGUUAAAAUCACUGUCCAAAACCUUUGUAGGAACUCUUUUCCAACCUUUUGGAGUUAGUUACACCAAAAAAAAUAUUGUAAAAUGAAAAAGAAAUAUUUGGGGUUUUCGGGCUUUCUGACGGUAAUACCCUGGUAUAAGGUUAUGGGACUAAUGUAAGGUUUAAGGUUUUUGGCGUUAGGGUUAAAAUCACUGUCAAAACCUUUGUAGGAACUCUUUUCCAACCUUUUGGAGUUAGACCAAAAAAAGAAAAAAAAAAGGAACAAGAAAUAUUUCGGGUGUUCGGGCUUCCUGAAGGUAAUACCCAGGUAUUAGGUUAUGGGGCUUUGGUAAGGUUUAAGGUUUUUGGCAUUAUGGUUAAAAUCACUGUCCAAAACCUUUGUAGGAACUCUUUUCCAACCUUUUGGAGUUAGUUAGACCUAAAAAAAACGAAAAGUGAAAAAAAAAUAUUUGGGGUGUUCGGGCUUCCUGAUGGUAAUACCCGGGUAUUAGGUUAUGGGGCUAGGGUAAGGUUUAAGGAUUUUGGCGUUAGAGUUAAAAUCACUGUCCAAAACCUUUGUAGGAACUCUUUUCCAACCUUUUGGAGUUAGUUAGACCAAAAUAAAACAAAAAAUGAAAAAAAAUUUUUGGGGUUUUGGGGCUUCCUGAAGGUAAUACCCGGGUAUUAGGUUAUGGGGCUAGGGUAAGGUUUUUGGCGUUAGGGUUAAAAUCACUGUCCAAAACCUUUGUAGUAACUCUUUUCCAACCUUUUGGAGUUAGUUACACCAAAAAAAAAAUUGUAAAAUGAAAAAGAAAUAUUUGGGGUGUUUGGGCUUCCUGAAGGUAAUUCCCGGGUAUUAGGUUAUGGGGCUAGUGAAAGGUUUCAGGUUUUUGGUGUAAGCGUUAAAAUCACUGUCCAAAACCUUUGUAGGAACUCUUUUCCAACCUUUUGGAGUUAGUUAGACCAGAAAAAAAAUGAAAAAUGAAAAAAAAAAUAUUUGGGGUUUUCGGGCUUUCUGAAGGUAACACCCGGGUAUUAGGUUUUGGGGCUAGGGUAAGGUUUAAGUUUUUUGGUGUUAGGGUUAAAAUCACUGUCCAAAACCUUUGUAGGAACUUCUUUCCAACCUUUUGGAGUUAGUUAAACCAAAAAAAAAAUUGUAAAAUGAAAAAGAAAUAUUUGGGGUGUUCGGGCUUCCUGAAGGUAAUACCCAGGUAUUAGGUUAUGGGGCUUUGGUAAGGUUUAAGGUUUUUGGCAUUAUGGUUAAAAUCACUGUCCAAAACCUUUGUAGGAACUCUUUUCCAACCUUUUGGAGUUAGUUAGACCUAAAAAAAAACGAAAAAUGAAAAAAAAAUGUUUGGGGUGUUCGGGCUUCCUGAAGGUAAUACCCGGGUAUUAGGUUAUGGGGCUUGGGUAAGGUUUAAGGUUUUUGGCGUUAGGGUUAAAAUCACUGUCCAAAACCUUUGUAGGAACUCUUUUCCAAUGUUUUGGAGUUAGUUAGACCCGAAAGAAAUGAAAAAUGAAAAAAAAAAAUUUGGGGUUUUCGGGCUUUCUGAAGGUAAUACCCGGGUUUUAGGUUAUGGGGCUAGGGUAAGGUUUAAGGUUUUUGGCGUUAGGGUUAAAAUCCCUGUCCAAAACCUUUGUAGGAACUAUUUUCCAACCUUUUGGAGUUAGUUAGACAAAAAUAAAACAAAAAAUGAAAAAAAAAUAUUUGGGGUGUUCGGGCUUCCUGAAGGUAAUACCCGGGUAUUAGGUUUUGGGGCUAGGGUAAGGUUUUUGGCGUUAGGGUUAAAAUCACUGUCCAAAACCUUUGUAGGAACUCCUUUCCAACCUUUUGGAGUUAGUUAAACCAAAAAAAAAAGAAAAAGGAACAAGAAAUAUUUGGGGUGUUCGGUCUUCCUGAAGGUAAUACCGGUAAUGGGGCUAGGGUAAGGUUUAAAUGUUUUUGGAGUAAGGGUUAAAAUCACUGUCCAAAACCUUUGUAGGAACUCUUUUCCAACCUUUUGGAGUUAGUUAGACCGAAAAGAAAUCAAAAAUAAAAAAACAUAUUUGGGGUGUUCGGGCUUCGUGAAUGUAAUACCCAGGUAUCAGUGUAAUCAGGCUAGGAUCAGGUUUAAGGUUUUUGGCGUAAGGGUUAAAAUCCCUGUCCAAAACCUUUGUAGGAACUCUUUUCCAACCUUUUGGAGUUAGUUACACCAAAAAUGAACAAAAAAUGAAAAAAAAAUAUUUGGGGUGUUCGGUCUUCCUGAAGGUAUGAGAUUAUGGGGCUAUGGAAAGGUUUAAUGUUUUUGGCGUUAGGGUUAAAAUCACUGUCCAAAACCUUUUUAGGAACAUGUUUCAGACCUUAUGGAGUUAGUUAGACCAAAAAAAAAUUGUAAAAUGAAAAAGAAAUAUUUGGGGUGUUUGGGCUUCCUGAAGGUAAUACCCGGGUAUUAGGUUUUGGAGCUAGGGUAAGGUUUAAGGUUUUUGGCAUCAUGGUUAAAAUCACUGUCCAAAACCUUUGUAGGAACUCUUUUCCAACCUUUUGGAGUUAGUUAGACCAAAAAAAAAAGGAAAGGAAAAAUAAAUAUUUGGGGUGUUCGGGCUUCCUGAAGGCAAUACCCAGGUAUUAGGUUAUGGGGCUAGGGUCGGGUUUAAGGUUUUUGGCGUGAGGGUUAAAAUCCCUGUCCAAAACCUUUGUAGGAACUCUUUUCCAACCUUUUGGAGUUAGGUAGACAAAAAUAAAAUGAAAAAUGAAAAAAAAAAUAUUUGGGGUUUUCGGGCUUUCUGAAGGUAACACCCGGGUAUUAGGUUUUGGGGCUAGGGUAAGGUUUAAGUUUUUUGGCGUAAGGGUUAAAAUCACUGUCCAAAACCUUUGUAGGAACUCCUUUCCAACCUUUUGGAGUUAGUUACACCAAAAAUAAACGAAAAAUGAAAAAAAAAUAUUUGGGAUGUUCGGUCUUCCUGAAGGUAUUAGAUUAUGGGGCUAUGGAAAGGUUUAAUGUUUUUGGCGUUAGGGUUAAAAUCACUGUCCAAAACCUUUGUAGGAACUCUUUUCCAACCUUUUGGAGUUAGUUAGACCAAAAUAAAACAAAAAAUGAAAAAAAAAAUAUUUGGGGUUUUCGGGCUUUCUGAAGGUAACACCCGGGUAUUAGGUUUUGGGGCUAGGGUAAGGUUUAAGUUUUUUGGCGUAAGGGUUAAAAUCACUGUCCAAAACCUUUGUAGGAACUCCUUUCCAACCUUUUGGAGUUAGUUAAACCAAAAAAAAAAUUUGUAAAAUGCAAAAAAAAUAUUUGGGGUGUUCGGUCUUCCUGAAGGUAAUUCCCCGGUAUUAGGUUAUGGGGCUUUGGUAAGGUUUAAGGUUUUUGGCAUUAUGGUUAAAAUCACUGUCCAAAACCUUUGUAGGAACUCUUUUCCAAUGUUUUGGAGUUAGUUAGACCCGAAAGAAAUGAAAAAUGAAAAAAAAAAAUUUGGGGUUUUCGGGCUUUCUGAAGGUAAUACCCGGGUUUUAGGUUAUGGGGCUAGGGUAAGGUUUAAGGUUUUUGGCGUUAGGGUUAAAAUCCCUGUCCAAAACCUUUGUAGGAACUCUUUUCCAACCUUUUGGAGUUAGUUAGACAAAAAUAAAACAAAAAAUGAAAAAAAAAAUAUUUGGGGUUUUCGGGCUUUCUGAAGGUAAUACCCUGGUAUAAGGUUUUGGGACUAAUGUAAGGUUUAAGGUUUUUGGCGUAAGGGUUAAAAUCACUGUCCAAAACCUUUGUAGGAACUCCUUUCCAACCUUUUGGAGUGAGUUAAACCAAAAAAAAAAAUUGUAAAAUGAAAAAAAAAUAUUUGGGGUGUUCGGGCUUUCUGACGGUAAUACCCUGGUAUAAGGUUAUGGGACUAAUGUAAGGUUUAAGGUUUUUGGCGUUAGGGUUAAAAUCACUGUCAAAACCUUUGUAGGAACUCUUUUCCAACCUUUUGGAGUUAGACCAAAAAAAGAAAAAAAAAAGGAACAAGAAAUAUUUCGGGUGUUCGGGCUUCCUGAAGGCAAUAGCCGGGUAUUAGGUCAUGGGGCUAGGGUAAGGUUAAAGGUUUUUGGCGUUAGGGUUAAAAUCACUGUCCAAAACCUUUGUAGGAACUCUUUUCCAACCUUUUGGAGUUAGUUACACCAAAACAAAAAAACAAAAAAUGAAGAAAAAAAUAUUUGGGGUGUUCGGUCUUCCUGAAGGUUAUACCCGGGUAUUAGGUUAUGGGGCUAGGGUAAGGUUUUUGGCGUUAGGGUUAAAAUCACUGUCCAAAACCUUUGUAGGAACUCUUUUCCAACCUUUUGGAGUUAGUUAGACCGAAAAGAAAUCAAAAAUAAAAAAACAUAUUUGGGGUGUUCGGGCUUCCUGAAUGUAAUACCCAGGUAUCAGGGUAAUCAGACUAGGGUCAGGUUUAAGGUUUUUGGCGUAAGGGUUAAAAUCACUGUCCAAAACCUUUGUACGAACUCUUUUCCAACCUUUUGGAGUUAGUUACACCAAAAAUGAACAAAAAAUGAAAAAAAAUAUUUGGGGUGUUCGGUCUUCCUGAAGAUAUUAGAUUAUGGGGCUAUGGAAAGGUUUAAUGUUUUUGGCGUUAGGGUUAAAAUCACUGUCCAAAACCUUUUUAGGAACAUGUUUCAGACCUUAUGGAGUUAGUUAGACCAAAAAAAAAAUUGUAAAAUGAAAAAGAAAUAUUUGGGGUGUUUGGGCUUCCUGAAGGUAAUACCCGGGUAUAAGGUUAUGGGGCUAGGGUAAGAUUUAAGGUUUUUGGCGUUAGGGUUAAAAUCACUGUCCAAAACCUUUGUAGGAACUCUUUUCCAACCUUUUGGAGUUAGUUAGACCCAAAAAAAAUGAAAAAUGAAAAAUAAAAUAUUUGGGGUUUUGGGCUUCCUGAAGGUAAUACCCGGGUAUUAGGUUUUGGGGCUAGGGUAAGGUUUAAGGUUUUUGGCGUUAGGGUUAAAAUCACUGUCCAAAACCUUUGUAGGAAUACUUUUCCAACCUUUUUGAGUUAGUUAGACCAAAAAAAAAAAGGAAAGGAAAAAGAAAUAUUUGGGGUGUUCGGGCUUCCUGAAGGCAAUACCCAGGUAUUAGGUAAUGGGGCUAGGGUCGGGUUUAAGGUUUUUGGCGUGAGGGUUAAAAUCCCUGUCCAAAACCUUUGUAGGAACUCUUUUCCAACCUUUUGGAGUUCGUUAGACCAAAAUAAAAUGAAAAAUGAAAAAAAAAAUAUUUGGGGUUUUUCGGGCUUUCUGAAGGUAACACCUGGGUAUUAGGUUUUGGGGCUAGGGUAAGGUUUAAGUUUUUUGGCGUAAGGGUUAAAAUCACUGUCCAAAACCUUUGUAGGAACUCUUUUCCAACCUUUUGGAGUUAGUUAAACCAAAAAAAAAAUUGUAAAAUGAAAAAGAAAUAUUUGGGGUGUUCGGGCUUCCUGAAGGUAAUACCCAGGUAUUAGGUUUGGGGCUUUGGUAAGGUUUAAGGUUUUUGGCAUUAUGUUUAAAAUCACUGUCCAAAACCUUUGUAGGAACUCUUUUCCAACCUUUUGGAGUUAGUUAGACCAAAAUAAAACAAAAAAUGAAAAAAAAAUAUUUGGGGUGUUCGGUCUUCCUGAAGGUAAUACCCGGGUAUUAGGUUAUGGGGCUAGGGUAAGGUUUUUGGCGUUAUGGUUAAAAUCACUGUCCAAAACCUUUGUAGGAACUCUUUUCCAACCUUUUGGAGUUAGUUAGACCAAAAUAAAACAAAAAGUGAAAAAAAAAUAUUUGGGGUGUUCGGUCUUCCUGAAGGUAAUACCCGGGUAUUAGGCUAUGGGGCUAGGGUAAGGUUUUUGGCGUUAUGGUUAAAAUCACUGUCCAAAACCUUUGUAGGAACUCUUUUCCAACCUUUUGGAGUUAGUUACACCAAAAAAAAAAUUGUAAAAUGAAAAAGAAAUAUUUGGGGUAUUUGGGCUUCCUGAAGGUAAUACUCGGGUAUAAGGUUAUGGGGCUAGUGAAAGGUUUCAGGUUUUUGGCGUAAGGGUUAAAAUCACUGUCCAAAACCUUUGUAGGAACUCUUUUCCAACCUUUUGGAGUUAGUUAGACCAGAAAAAAAAUGAAAAAUGAAAAAAAAAAUAUUUGGGGUUUUCGGGCUUUCUGAAGGUAACACCCGGGUAUUAGGUUUUGGGGCUAGGGUAAGGUUUAAGUUUUUUGGCGUUAGGGUUAAAAUCACUGUCCAAAACCUUUGUAGGAACUUCUUUCCAACCUUUUGGAGUUAGUUAAACCAAAAAAAAAAUUGUAAAAUGAAAAAGAAAUAUUUGGGGUGUUCGGGCUUCCUGAAGGUAAUACCCAGGUAUUAGGUUAUGGGGCUUUGGUAAGGUUUAAGGUUUUUGGCAUUAUGGUUAAAAUCACUGUCCAAAACCUUUGUAGGAACUCUUUUCCAACCUUUUGGAGUUAGUUAGACCUAAAAAAAACGAAAAAUGAAAAAAAAAUGUUGGGGUGUUCGGGCUUCCUGAAGGUAUUAGGUUCUGGGGCUAGGGUAAGGUUUAAGGUUUUUGGCGUUAGGGUUAAAAUCCCUGUCCAAAACCUUUGUAGGAACUCUUUUCCAACCUUUUGGAGUUAGUUAGACCAAAAUAAAACAAAAAAUGAAAAAAAAAUAUUUGGGAUGUUCGGUCUUCCUGAAGGUAAUACCUGGGUAUUAGGUUAUGGGGCUAGGGUAAGGUUUUUGGCAUUAGGUUAUGGGGCUAGGGUAAGGUUUUUGGCGUUAGGGUUAAAAUCACUGUCCAAAACCUUUUUAGGAACUCUUUUCCAACCUUUUGGAGUUAGUUACACCAACAAAAAAAAAUUGUAAAAUGAAAAAGAAAUAUUUGGGGUGUUUGGGCUUCCUGAAGGUAAUACCCGGGUAUUAGGUUAAGGGGCUAGUGAAAGGUUUCAGGUUUUUGGCGUAAGGGUUAAAAUCACUGUCCAAAACCUUUGUAGGAACUCUUUUCCAACCUUUUGGAGUUAGUUAGAUCAGAAAAAUAAUGAAAAAUGAAAAAAAAAAUAUUUGGGGUUUUCGGGCUUUCUGAAGGUAACACCCAGGUAGUAGGUUUUGGGGCUAGGGUAAGGUUUAAGUUUUUUGGCGUUAGGGUUAAAAUCACUGUCCAAAACCUUUGUAGGAACUCCUUUCCAACCUUUUGGAGUUAGUUAAACCAAAAAAAAAAUUGUAAAAUGAAAAAGAAAUAUUUGGGGUGUUCGGGCUUCCUGAAGGUAAUACCCAGGUAUUAGGUUAUGGGGCUUUGGUAAGGUUUAAGGUUUUUGGCAUUAUGGUUAAAAUCACUGUCCAAAACCUUUGUAGGAACUCUUUUCCAACCUUUUGGAGUUAGUUAGACCUAAAAAAAACGAAAAAUGAAAAAAAAAUUUUGGGGGUGUUCGGGCUUCCUGAAGGUAAUACCCAGGUAUUAGGCUAUGGGGCUAGGGUAAGGUUUUUGGCGUUAGGGUUAAAAUUACUGUCCAAAACCUUUGUAGGAACUCUUUUCCAACCUUUUGGAGUUAGUUACACCAAAAAAAAAAUUGUAAAAUGAAAAAGAAAUAUUUGGGGUGUUUGGGCUUCCUGAAGGUAAUACUCGGGUAUUAGGUUAUGGGGCUAAUGAAAGGUUUCAGGUUUUUGGCGUAAGGGUUAAAAUCACUGUCCAAAACCUUUGUAGGAACUUCUUUCCAACCUUUUGGAGUUAGUUAAACCAAAAAAAAAAUUGUAAAAUGAAAAAGAAAUAUUUGGGGUGUUCGGGCUUCCUGAAGGUAAUACCCAGGUAUUAGGUUAUGGGGCUUUGGUAAGGUUUAAGGUUUUUGGCAUUAUGGUUAAAAUCACUGUCCAAAACCUUUGUAGGAACUCUUUUCCAACCUUUUGGAGUUAGUUAGACCUAAAAAAAACGCAAAAUGAAAAAAAAAUGUUGGGGUGUUCGGGCUUCCUGAAGGUAAUACCCAGGUAUUAGGCUAUGGGGCUAGGGUAAGGUUUUUGGCGUUAGGGUUAAAAUUACUGUCCAAAACCUUUGUAGGAACUCUUUUCCAACCUUUUGGAGUUAGUUACACCAAAAAAAAAAUUGUAAAAUGAAAAAGAAAUAUUUGGGGUGUUUGGGCUUCCUGAAGGUAAUACUCGGGUAUUAGGUUAUGGGGCUAAUGAAAGGUUUCAGGUUUUUGGCGUAAGGGUUAAAAUCACUGUCCAAAACCUUUGUAGGAACUUCUUUCCAACCUUUUGGAGUUAGUUAAACCAAAAAAAAAAUUGUAAAAUGAAAAAGAAAUAUUUGGGGUGUUCGGGCUUCCUGAAGGUAAUACCCAGGUAUUAGGUUAUGGGGCUUUGGUAAGGUUUAAGGUUUUUGGCAUUAUGGUUAAAAUCACUGUCCAAAACCUUUGUCGGAACUCUUUUCCAACCUUUUGGAGUUAGUUAGACCUAAAAAAAACGAAAAAUGAAAAAAAAAUGUUGGGGUGUUCGGGCUUCCUGAAGGUAUUAGGUUAUGGGGCUAGGGUAAGGUUUAAGGUUUUUGGCGUAAGGGUUAAAAUCACUGUCCAAAACCUUUGUAGGAACUCUUUUCCAACCUUUUGGAGUUAGUUACACCCGAAAGAAAUGAAAAAUGAAAAAAAAAUAUUUGGGGUUUUCUGGCUUUCUGAAGGUAAUACCCGGGUUUUAGGUUACGGGGCUAGGGUAAGGUUUAAGGUUUUUGGCGUUAGGGUUAAAAUCCCUGUCCAAAACCUUUGUAGGAACUCUUUUCCAACCUUUUGGAGUUAGUUAGACCAAAAUAAAACAAAAAAUGAAAAAAAAAAAAAUUGGGGUGUUCGGUCUUCCUGAAGGUAAUACCCGGGUAUUAGGUCAUGGGGCUAGGGUAAGGUUUUUGGCGUUAGGGUUAAAAUCACUGUCCAAAACCUUUGUAGGAACUCUUUUCCAACCUUUUGGAGUUAGUAAGACCUAAAAAGAACGAAAAAUGAAAAAAAAAUGUUGGGGUGUUCGGGCUUCCUGAAGGUAUUAGGUUCUGGGGCUAGGGUAAGGUUUAAGGUUUUUGGCGUUAGGGUUAAAAUCCCUGUCCAAAACCUUUGUAGGAACUCUUUUCCAACCUUUUGGAGUUAGUUAGACCAAAAUAAAACAAAAAAUGAAAAAAAAAUAUUUGGGAUGUUCGGUCUUCCUGAAGGUAAUACCCGGGUAUUAGGUUAUGGGGCUAGGGUAAGGUUUUUGGCAUUAGGUUAUGGGGCUAGGGUAAGGUUUUUGGCGUUAGGGUUAAAAUCACUGUCCAAAACCUUUUUAGGAACUCUUUUCCAACCUUUUGGAGUUAGUUACACCAAAAAAAAAAAUUGUAAAAUGAAAAAGAAAUAUUUGGGGUGUUUGGGCUUCCUGAAGGUAAUACCCGGGUAUUAGGUUAAGGGGCUAGUGAAAGGUUUCAGGUUUUUGGCGUAAGGGUUAAAAUCACUGUCCAAAACCUUUGUAGGAACUCUUUUCCAACCUUUUGGAGUUAGUUAGAUCAGAAAAAUAAUGAAAAAUGAAAAAAAAAAUAUUUGGGGUUUUCGGGCUUUCUGAAGGUAACACCCAGGUAGUAGGUUUUGGGGCUAGGGUAAGGUUUAAGUUUUUUGGCGUUAGGGUUAAAAUCACUGUCCAAAACCUUUGUAGGAACUCCUUUCCAACCUUUUGGAGUUAGUUAAACCAAAAAAAAAAUUGUAAAAUGAAAAAGAAAUAUUUGGGGUGUUCGGGCUUCCUGAAGGUAAUACCCAGGUAUUAGGUUAUGGGGCUUUGGUAAGGUUUAAGGUUUUUGGCAUUAUGGUUAAAAUCACUGUCCAAAACCUUUGUAGGAACUCUUUUCCAACCUUUUGGAGUUAGUUAGACCUAAAAAAAACGAAAAAUGAAAAAAAAAUUUUGGGGGUGUUCGGGCUUCCUGAAGGUAAUACCCAGGUAUUAGGCUAUGGGGCUAGGGUAAGGUUUUUGGCGUUAGGGUUAAAAUUACUGUCCAAAACCUUUGUAGGAACUCUUUUCCAACCUUUUGGAGUUAGUUACACCAAAAAAAAAAUUGUAAAAUGAAAAAGAAAUAUUUGGGGUGUUUGGGCUUCCUGAAGGUAAUACCCAGGUAUUAGGUUAUGGGGCUUUGGUAAGGUUUAAGGUUUUUGGCAUUAUGGUUAAAAUCACUGUCCAAAACCUUUGUAGGAACUCUUUUCCAACCUUUUGGAGUUAGUUAGACCUAAAAAAAACGAAAAAUGAAAAAAAAUGUUGGGGUGUUCGGGCUUCCUGAAGGUAUUAGGUUAUGGGGCUAGGGUAAGGUUUAAGGUUUUUGGUGUAAGGGUUAAAAUCACUGUCCAAAACCUUUGUAGGAACUCUUUUCCAACCUUUUGGAGUUAGUUACACCCGAAAGAAAUGAAAAAUGAAAAAAAAAUAUUUGGGGUUUUCUGCCUUUCUGAAGGUAAUACCCGGGUUUUAGGUUACGGGGCUAGGGUAAGGUUUAAGGUUUUUGGCGUUAGGGUUAAAAUCCCUGUCCAAAACCUUUGUAGGAACUCUUUUCCAACCUUUUGGAGUUAGUUAGACCAAAAUAAAACAAAAAAUGAAAAAAAAAAAAUUGGGGUGUUCGGUCUUCCUGAAGGUAAUACCCGGGUAUUAGGUCAUGGGGCUAGGGUAAGGUUUUUGGCGUUAGGGUUAAAAUCACUGUCCAAAACCUUUGUAGGAACUCUUUUCCAACCUUUUGGAGUUAGUUACACCAAAAAAAAAUUGUAAAUUGAAAAAGAAAUAUUUGGGGUGUUUGGGCUUCCUGAAGGUAAUACCCAGGUAUUAGGUUAUGGGGCUUUGGUAAGGUUUAAGGUUUUUGGCAUUAUGGUUAAAAUCACUGUCCAAAACCUUUGUAGGAACUCUUUUCCAACCUUUUGGAGUUAGUUAGACCUAAAAAAAACGAAAAAUGAAAAAAAAAUGUUGGGGUGUUCGGGCUUCCUGAAGGUAUUAGGUUCUGGGGCUAGGGUAAGGUUUAAGGUUUUUGGCAUUAUGGUUAAAAUCACUGUCCAAAACCUUUGUAGGAACUCUUUUCCAACCUUUUGGAGUUAGUUAGACCCGAAAGAAAUGAAAAAUGAAAAAAAAAUAUUUGGGGUGUUCGGGCUUUCUGAAGGUAAUACCCUGCUAUAAGGUUUUGGGACUAAUGUAAGGUUUAAGGUUUUUGGCGUUAGGGUUAAAAUCACUGUCCAAAACCUUUGUAGGAACUCUUUUCCAACCUUUUGGAGUUAGUUAGACCAAAAUAAAACAAAAAAUGAAAAAAAAAUAUUUGGGGUGUUCAGGCUUCCUGAAGGUAAUACCCGGGUAUUAGGUUAUGGGGCUAGGGUAAGGUUUUUGGCGUUAGGGUUAAAAUUACUGUCCAAAACCUUUGUAGGAACUCUUUUCCAACCUUUUGGAGUUAGUUACACCCGAAAGAAAUGAAAAAUGAAAAAAAAAUAUUUGGGGUUUUCUGGCUUUCUGAAGGUAAUACCCGGGUUUUAGGUUACGGGGCUAGGGUAAGGUUUAAGGUUUUUGGCUUUAGGGUUAAAAUCCCUGUCCAAAACCUUUGUAGGAACUCUUUUCCAACCUUUUGGAGUUAGUUAGACCAAAAUAAAACAAAAAAUGAAAAAAAAAUAUUUGGGGUGUUCAGGCUUCCUGAAGGUAAUACCCGGGUAUUAGGUUAUGGGGCUAGGGUAAGGUUUUUGGCGUUAGGGUUAAAAUUACUGUCCAAAACCUUUGUAGGAACUCUUUUCCAACCUUUUGGAGUUAGUUAGACCAGAAAAAAAUAAAAAAUGAAAAAGAAAUAUUUGGGGUUUUCGGGCUUUCUGAAGGUAACACCCGGGUAUUAGGUUUUGGAGCUAGGCUAAGGUUUAAGUUUUUUGGCGUUAGGGUUAAAAUCACUGUCCAAAACCUUUGUAGGAACUCCUUUCCAACCUUUUGGAGUUAGUUAAACCAAAAAAAAAAUUGUAAAAUGAAAAAGAAAUAUUUGGGGUGUAUGGGCUUCCUGAAGGUAAUACCCAGGUAUUAGGUUAUGGGGCUUUGGUAAGGUUUAAGGUUUUUGGCAUUAUGGUUAAAAUCACUGUCCAAAACCUUUGUAGGAACUCUUUUCCAACCUUUUGGAGUUAGUUAGACCUAAAAAAAACGAAAAGAGAAAAAAAAAUGUUUUGGGUGUUCGGGCUUCCUGAAGGUAAUACCCGGGUAUUAGGUUAUGGGGCUAGGGUAAGGUUUAAGGUUUUUGGCGUUAGGGUUAAAAUCACUGUCCAAAACCUUUGUAGGAACUCUUUUCCAACCUUUUGGAGUUAGUUAGACCAAAAUAAAACAAAAAAUGAAAAAAAAAUAUUUGGGGUGUUCAGGCUUCCUGAAGGUAAUACCCGGGUAUUAGGUUAUGGGGCUAGGGUAAGGUUUUUGGCGUUAGGGUUAAAAUUACUGUCCAAAACCUUUGUAGGAACUCUUUUCCAACCUUUUGGAGUUAGUUACACCAAAAAAAAAAAAAUUGUAAAAUGAAAAAGAAAUAUUUGGGGUGUUCGGGCUUCCUGAAGGUAAUACCUGGGUAUUAGGUUAUGGGGCUAGUGAAAGGUUUAGGGUUUUUGGCGUUAGGGUUAAAAUCACUGUCCAAAACCUUUGUAGGAACUCUUUUCCAACCUUUUGGAGUUAGUUAGACCAGAAAAAAAUGAAAAAUGAAAAAAAUAUAUAUUUGGGGUUUUCGGGCUCUCUGAAGGUAAUAGUAUUAGGUAAUGGGGCUGGGGUAAGGUUUAAAUGUUUUUGGAGUUAGGGUUAAAAUCACUGUCCAAAACCUUUGUAGGAACUCUUUUCCAACCUUUUGGAGUUAGUUAGACCUAAAAAAAACGAAAAAUGAAAAAAAAAUGUUUGGGGUGUUCGGGCUUCCUGAAGGUAAUACCCGGGUAUUAGGUUAUGGGGCUAGGGUAAGAUUUAAGGUUUUUGGCGUUAGGGUUAAAAUCACUGUCCAAAACCUUUGUAGGAACUCUUUUCCAACCUUUUGGAGUUAGUUAGACCCAAAAAAAAUUAAAAAUGAAAAACAAAAUAUUUGGGGUUUUGGGCUUCCUGAAGGUAAUACCCGGGUAUUAGGUUUUGGGGCUAGGGUAAGGUUUAAGGUUUUUGGCGUUAGGGUUAAAAUCACUGUCCAAAACCUUUGUAGGAACUCUUUUCCAACGUUUUGGAGUUAGUUAGACCAAAAUAAAACAAAAAAUGAAAAAAAAAUAUUUGGGGUGUUCGGUCUUCCUGAAGGUAAUACCCGGGUAUUAGGUUAUGGGGCUAGGGUAAGGUUUCUGGCGUUAGGGUUAAAAUCACUGUCCAAAACCUUUGUAGGAACUCUUUUCCAACCUUUUGGAGUUAGUUACACCAAAAAAAAAAUUGUAAAAUGAAAAAGAAAUAUUUGGGGUGUUCGGGCUUCCUGAAGGUAAUACCCGGGUAUUAGGUUAUGGGGCUAGUGAAAGGUUUCAGGUUUUUGGCGUUAGGGUUAAAAUCACUGUCCAAAACCUUUGUAGGAACUCUUUUCCAACCUUUUGGAGUUAGUUAGACCAGAAAAAAAUAAAAAAUGAAAAAGAAAUAUUUGGGGUUUUCGGGCUUUCUGAAGGUAACACCCGGGUGUUAGGUUUUGGAGCUAGGCUAAGGUUUAAUUUUUUUGGCGUUAGGGUUAAAAUCACUGUCCAAAACCUUUGUAGGAACUCCUUUCCAACCUUUUGGAGUUAGUUAAACCAAAAAAAAAAAUGUAAAAUGAAAAAGAAAUAUUUGGGGUGUAUGGGCUUCCUGAAGGUAAUACCCAGGUAUUAGGUUAUGGGGCUUUGGUAAGGUUUAAGGUUUUUGGCAUUAUGGUUAAAAUCACUGUCCAAAACCUUUGUAGGAACUCUUUUCCAACCUUUUGGAGUUAGUUAGACCUAAAAAAAAAUGAAAAAUGAAAAAAAAAUGUUUGGGGUGUUCGGGCUUCCUGAAGGUAAUACCCGGGUAUUAGGUUAUGGGGCUUUGGUAAGGUUUAAGGUUUUUGGCAUUAUGGUUAAAAUCACUGUCCAAAACCUUUGUAGGAACUCUUUUCCAACCUUUUGGAGUUAGUUAGACCUAAAAAAAACGAAAAAUUAAAAAAAAAAUGUUUGGGGUGUUCGGGCUUUCUGAAGGUAAUACCCGAGUAUUAGGUUACGGGGCUAGGGUAAGGUUUAAGGUUUUUGGCGUUAGGGUUAAAAUCCCUGUCCAAAACCUUUGUGGGAACUCUUUUCCAACCUUUUGGAGUUAGUUAGACCAAAAUAAAACAAAAAGUGAAAAAAAAAUAUUUGGGGUGUUCGGUCUUCCUGAAGGUAAUACCCGGGUAUUAGGCUAUGGGGCUAGGGUAAGGUUUUUGGCGUUAGGGUUAAAAUCACUGUCCAAAACCUUUGUAGGAACUCUUUUCCAACCUUUUGGAGUUAGUUACACCAAAAAAAAAAUUGUAAAAUGAAAAAGAAAUAUUUGGGGUGUUUGGGCUUCCUGAAGGUAAUACUCGGGUAUUAGGUUAUGGGGCUAGUAAAAGGUUUCAGGUUUUUGGCGUAAGGGUUAAAAUCACUGUCCAAAACCUUUGUAGGAACUCUUUUCCAACCUUUUGGAGUUAGUUAGACCAAAAUAAAACAAAAACUGAAAAAAAAAUAUUUGGGGUGUUCGGUCUUCCUGAAGGUAAUACCCGGGUAUUAGGUUAUGGGGCUAGGGUAAGGUUUUUGGCUUUAGGGUUCAAAUCACUGUCCAAAACCUUUGUAGGAACUAUUUUCCAACCUUUUGGAGUUAGUUAGACCAGAAAAAAAUAAAAAAUGAAAAAGAAAUAUUUGGGGUUUUCGGGCUUUCUGAAGGUAACACCCGGGUAUUAGGUUUUGGAGCUAGGGUAAGGUUUAAGUUUUUUGGCGCUAGGGUUAAAAUCACUGUCCAAAACCUUUGUAGGAACUCCUUUCCAACCUUUUGGAGUUAGUUAAACCAAAAAAAAAAUUGUAAAAUGAAAAAGAAAUAUUUGGGGUGUUCGGGCUUCCUGAAGGUAAUACCCAGGUAUAAGGUUAUGGGGCUUUGGUAAGGUUUAAGGUUUUUGGCAUUAUGGUUAAAAUCACUGUCCAAAACCUUUGUAGGAACUAUUUUCCAACCUUUUGGAGUUAGUUAGACCUAAAAAAAACGAAAAAUGAAAAAAAAAUGUUUGGGGUGUUCGGGCUUCCUGAAGGUAAUACUCGGGUAUUAGGUUAUGGGGCUAGUGAAAGGUUUAGGGUUUUUGGCGUUAGGGUUAAAAUCACUGUCCAAAACCUUUGUAGGAACUCUUUUCCAACCUUUUGGAGUUAGUUAGACCAGAAAAAAAUGAAAAAUGAAAAAAAAAAUAUUUGGGGUUUUCGGGCUCUCUGAUGGUAAUACCCGGGUAUUAGGUAAUGGGGCUAGGGUAAGGUUUAAAUGUUUUUGGAGUUAGGGUUAAAAUCACUGUCCAAAACCUUUGUAGGAACUCUUUUCCAACCUUUUGGAGUUAGUUAGACCGAAAAGAAAUCAAAAAUAAAAAAACAUAUUUGGGGUGUUCGGGCUUCCUGAAGGUAAUACCCAGGUAUCAGGGUAAUCAGGCUAGGGUCAGGUUUAAGGUUUUUGGCGUUAGGGUUAAAAUCACUGUCCAAAACCUUUGUAGGAACUCCUUUCCAACCUUUUGGAGUUAGUUAAACCAAAAAAAAAAUUGUAAAAUGAAAAAGAAAUAUUUGGGGUGUUCGGGCUUCCUGAAGGUAAUAGCCAGGUAUUAGGUUAUGGGGCUUUGGUAAGGUUUAAGGUUUUUGGCAUUAUGGUUAAAAUCACUGUCCAAAACCUUUGUAGGAACUCUUUUCCAACAUUUUGGAGUUAGUUAGACCGGAAAGAAAUGAAAAAUGAAAAAAAAAUAUUUGGGGUUUUCGGGCUUUCUGAAGGUAAUACCCGAGUAUUAGGUUACGGGGCUAGGGUAAGGUUUAAGGUUUUUGGCGUAAGGGUUAAAAUCACUGUCCAAAACCUUUGUAGGAACUCUUUUCCAACCUUUUGGAGUUAGUUAGAUCAGAAAAAAAACUGAAAAAUGAAAAAAAAUAUAUUUGGGGUUUUCGGGCUUUCUGAAGGUAACACCCGGGUAUUAGGUUUUGGGGCUAGGGUAAGGUUUAAGGUUUUUGGCGUUAGGGUUAAAAUCACUGUCCAAAACCUUUGUAGGAACUCCUUUCCAACCUUUUGGAGUUAGUUAAACCAAAAAAAAAAUUGUAAAAUGAAAAAGAAAUAUUUGGGGUGUUCGGGCUUCCUGAAGGUAAUACCCAGGUAUUAGGUUAUGGGGCUUUGGUAAGGUUUAAGGUUUUUGGCAUUAUGGUUAAAAUCACUGUCCAAAACCUUUGUAGGAACUCUUUUCCAACCUUUUGGAGUUAGUUAGACCUAAAAAAAAUGAAAAAUGAAAAAAAAAUGUUUGGGGUGUUCGGGCUUCCUGAAGGUAAUAUUAGGUUAUGGGGCUAGGGUAAGGUUUAAGGUUUUUGGCGUUAGGGUUAAAAUCACUGUCCAAAACCUUUGUAGGAACUCUUUUCCAACGUUUUGGAGUUAGUUAGACCGGAAAGAAAUGAAAAAUGAAAAAAAAAUAUUUGGGGUUUUCGGGCUUUCUGAAGGUAAUACCCGGGUAUUAGGUUACGGGGCUAGGGUAAGGUUUAAGGUUUUUGGCGUUAGGGUUAAAAUCCCUGUCCAAAACCUUUGUAGGAACUCUUUUCCAACCUUUUGGAGUUAGUUAGACCAAAAUAAAACAAAAAAUGAAAAAAAAAUAUUUGGGAUGUUCGGUCUUCCUGAAGGUAAUACCCGGGUAUUAGGUUAAGGGGCUAGUGAAAGGUUUCAGGUUUUUGGCGUAAGGGUUAAAAUCACUGUCCAAAACCUUUGUAGGAACUCUUUUCCAACCUUUUGGAGUUAGUUAGAUCAGAAAAAAAAUGAAAAAUGAAAAAAAAAUAUUUGGGGUUUUCGGGCUUUCUGAAGGUAACACCCGGGUAUUAGGUUUUGGGGCUAGGGUAAGGUUUAAGUUUUUUGGCGUUAGGGUUAAAAUCACUGUCCGAAACCUUUGUAGGAACUCCUUUCCAACCUUUUGGAGUUAGUUAAACCAGAAAAAAUUUUUAAAAUGAAAAAGAAAUAUUUGGGGUGUUCGGGCUUCCUGAAGGUAAUACCCAGGUAUUAGGUUAUGGUGCUUUGGUAAGGUUUAAGGUUUUUGGCAUUAUGGUUAAAAUCACUGUCCAAAACCUUUGUAGGAACUCUUUUCCAACCUUUUGGAGUUAGUUAGACCUAAAAAAAACGAAAAAUGAAAAAAAAAAUGUUUGGGGUGUUCGGGCUUCCUGAAGGUAAUACCCGGGUAUUAGGUUAUGGGGCUAGGGUAAGGUUUAAGGUUUUUGGCGUUAGGGUUAAAAUCACUGUCCAAAACCUUUGUAGGAACUCUUUUCCAACCUUUUGGAGUUAGUUAGACCGGAAAGAAAUGAAAAAUGAAAAAAAAAUAUUUGGGGUUUUCGGGCUUUCUGAAGGUAAUACCCGAGUAUUAGGUUAGGGGGCUAGGGUAAGGUUUUUGGCGUUAGGGUUAAAAUCACUGUCCAAAACCUUUGUAGGAACUUUUUUCCAACCUUUUGGAGUUAGUUAGACCUAAAAAAAACGAAAAAUGAAAAAAAAAUGUUUGGGGUGUUCGGGCUUCCUGAAGGUAAUACCCGGGUAUUAGGUUAUGGGGCUAGGGUAAGGUUUAAGGUUUUUGGCGUUAGGGUUAAAAUCCCUGUCCAAAAUCUUUGUAGGAACUCUUUUCCAACCUUUUAGAGUUAGUUAGACCUAAAAAAAACGAAAAAUGAAAAAAAAAUGUUUGGGGUGUUCGGGCUUCCUGAAGGUAAUACCCGGGUAUUAGGUUUUGGGGCUAGGGUAAGGUUUUUGGCGUUAGGGUUAAAAUCACUGUCCACAACCUUUGUAGGAAAAAGUUUCCAACCUUUUGGAGUUAGUUAAACCAAAAAAAAAAAGAAAAAGGAACAAGAAAUAUUUGGGGUGUUCGGUCUUCCUGAAGGUAAUACCCGGGUAUUAGGUUAUGGGGCUAGGGUAAGGUUUAAAUGUUUUUGGAGUUAGGGUUAAAAUCACUGUCCAAAACCUUUGUAGGAACUCUUUUCCAACCUUUUGGAGUUAGUUAGACCGAAAAGAAAUCAAAAAUAAAAAAACAUAUUUGGGGUGUUCGGGCUUCCUGAAGGUAAUACCCAGGUAUCAGGGUAAUCAGGCUAGGGUCAGGUUUAAGGUUUUUGGCGUUAGGGUUAAAAUCCCUGUCCAAAACCUUUGUAGGAACUCUUUUCCAACCUUUUGGAGUUAGUUCGACCAAAAUAAAACAAAAAAUAAAAAAAAAAUAUUUGGGGUGUUCGGUCUUCCUGAAGGUAAUACCCAGGUAUCAGGGUAAUCAGGCUAGGGUCAGGUUUAAGGUUUUUGGCGUUAGGUUUAAAAUCACUGUCCAAAACCUUUGGAGGAACUCUUUUCCAACCUUUUGGAGUUAGUUACACCAAAAAAAAAAUUGUAAAAUGAAAAAGAAAUAUUUGGGGUGUUCUGGCUUCCUGAAGGUAAUACCCGGGUAUUAGGUUUUGGGGCUAGGGUAAGGUUUAAGUUUUUUGGCGUUAGGGUUAAAAUCACUGUCCAAAACCUUUGUAGGAACUUCUUUCCAACCUUUUGGAGUUAGUUAAACCAAAAAAAAAAUUGUAAAAUGAAAAAGAAAUAUUUGGGGUGUUCGGGCUUCCUGAAGGUAAUACCCAGGUAUUAGGUUAUGGGGCUUUGGUAAGGUUUAAGGUUUUUGGCAUUAUGGUUAAAAUCACUGUCCAAAACCUUUGUAGGAACUCUUUUCCAACCUUUUGGAGUUAGUUAGACCUACAAAAAAACGAAAAAUGAAAAAAAAAAAUGUUUGGGGUGAUCGGGCUUCUUGAAGGUAAUACCCGGGUAUUAGGUUAUGGGGCUAGUGUAAGGUUUAAGGUUUUUGGCGUUAGGGUUAAAAUCACUGUCCAAAACCUUUGUAGGAACUCUUUUCCAACGUUUUGGAGUUAGUUAGACCAAAAUAAAACAAAAAAUGAAAAAAAAAUAUUUGGGGUGUUCGGUCUUCCUGAAGGUAAUACCCGGGUAUUAGGUUAUGGGGCUAGGGUAAGGUUUUUGGCGUUAGGGUUCAAAUUACUGUCCAAAACCUUUGUAGGAACUCUUUUCCAACCUUUUGGAGUUAGUUACACCAAAAAAAAUUGUAAAAUGAAAAAGAAAUAUUUGGGGUGUUCGGGCUUCCUGAAGGUAAUACCCGGGUAUUAGGUUAUGGGGCUAGUGAAAGGUUUAAGGAUUUUGGCGUUAGGGUUAAAAUCACUGUCCAAAACCUUUGUAGGAACUCUUUUCCAACCUUUUGGAGUUAGUUAGACCAGAAAAAAAUGAAAAAUGAAAAAAAAAAUAUUUGGGGUUUUCGGGCUUUCUGAAGGUAACACCCGGGUAUUAGGUUAUGGGGCUAGUGAAAGGUUUCAGGUUUUUGGCAUAAGGGUUAAAAUCACUGUCCAAAACCUUUGUAGGAACUCUUUUCCAACCUUUUGGAGUUAGACCCGAAAAAAAAUGAAAAAUGAAAAAAAAAAUAUUUGGGGUUUUCGGGCUUUCUGAAGGUAACACCCGGGUAUUAGGUUUUGGGGCUAGGGUAAGGUUUAAGUUUUUGGCGUUAGGGUUAAAAUCACUGUCCAAAACCUUUGUAGGAACUUCUUUCCAACCUUUUGGAGUUAGUUAAACCAAAAAAAAAAAUUGUAAAAUGAAAAAAAAAUAUUUGGGGUGUUCGGGCUUCCUGAAGGUAAUACCCAGGUAUUAGGUUAUGGGGCUUUGGUAAGGUUUAAGGUUUUUGGCAUUAUGGUUAAAAUCACUGUCCAAAACCUUUGUAGGAACUCUUUUCCAACCUUUUGGAGUUAGUUAGACCUAAAAAAAACGAAAAAUGAAAAAAAAAUGUUUGGGGUGAUCGGGCUUCCUGAAGGUAACACCCGGGUAUUAGGUUAUGGGGCUAGGGUAAGGUUUAAGGUUUUUGGCGUAAGGGUUAAAAUCACUGUCCACAACCUUUGUAGGAAAAAGUUUCAGACCUUUUGGAGUUAGUUACAACAACAAAAAAAAAGUAAAAUGAAAAAAAAAUAUUUGGGGUGUUCGGGCUUCCUGAAGGUAAUACCCAGGUAUUAGGUUAUGGGGCUUUGGAAAGGUUUAAGGUUUUUGGUGUCAGGGUUAAAAUCACUGUCCAAAACCUUUGUAGGAACUCUUUUCCAACCUUUUGGAGUUAGUUAGACCAAAAAUAAAUAAAUUACAAAAAAAAAAUGUUUGGGGUUUUCGGGCUUCCUGAAGGUAACACCCGGGUAUUAGGUAAUGGGGCUAGGGUAAGGUUUUUGGCGUUAGGGUUAAAAUCACUGUCCAAAACCUUUGUAGGAACUCUUUUCCAACCUUUUGGAGUUAGUUAGACCUAAAAAAAAACGAAAAAUAAAAAAAAAAUGUUUGGGGUGUUCGGGCUUCCUGAAGGUAAUACCCGGGUAUCAGGUUAUGGGGCUAGGGUAAGGUUUAAGGUUUUUGGCGUUAGGGUUCAAAUCACUGUCCAAAACCUUUGUAGGAACUCUUUUCCAACCUUUUGGAGUUAGUUAGACCUAAAAAAAAACGAAAAAUAAAAAAAAAAUGUUUGGGGUGUUCGGGCUUCCUGAAGGUAAUACCCGGGUAUCAGGUUAUGGGGCUAGGGUAAGGUUUAAGGUUUUUGGCGUUAGGGUUAAAAUCACUGUCCACAACCUUUGUAGGAAAAAGUUUCAGACCUUUUGGAGUUAGUUACAACAACAACAAAAAAAGUACUAGGACCCCGUUGGGGCACUGGCGGGCCCGAGCUGUGUCGCGUCCCCCCCCCAACGCGCUGCCUCCCCGUCCCAUUUGUGUCCUCUGGCCAUCGCCCUCUUUGGUAACGCCCAUCACUGCAAAGACCCUUUUCCUUCAUCGGCGUUUGCUGUUCUUCCUGCCAGUGCGUGUUGCUUUCACUUACACUUGCCACAGCCAGCCUCGUGAGUGCCUAGCCUAUUGGAUAUCACUGUCACCUACACAGGACAGUCAUUACCUUUCUAUUAAUACUUUGUUUUUUAAUUUCACAUUAAUUUCCAAAUUGUAUAAACGACUGGAAAAAACUUGAGCCCCUGCCCCUGUAUAAUCAUGUGCACGUCUCUGUUCUAGCUCUAAGGUAAAUCUUCACUGCUCAUGUUCUCCUCAGAAGCAGUCACCUCACUCCCCUCAGGUUACUGUACACAUGCACCAACUGCCUGCUUCAGGUUUGGAUGGAGCUUCAUGGUUGUCUUUUGGAGAAAUGACCAGUCAAGUUGUGUUUGAAAUUUGAUUUUUUUCAGGGGCAAAAGGAGCCUCUGCAUUCUUGUCAAAUAUGUAAAUAGCAUGUUUUUGCAGGUGCUACAAACCAGACUCUGAGUGUGUGUGUGUGCGUGUGUGUGUGUGUCUGUGUGUGUGUGUGUGUGUGUGCGUUCAAGUCACAUGACAUAUUUAACCGGAUGUAGCUGCAAGACGGAGCCUCGUUGACUCUCCGUUUCAAUUUAUCUCAAAAGUGAGGACCUCAACCUAUAUACCAGUUUUUAAAUUGUGUUGAUAGGCCAAAUAAAACCAGAGUUAUGAUAAAUUAUGUCCGCGAUACUUGUUUUCUGCUUAUUUUGAUCACGUUCGGCGCUCGAUCGCGCUGUAUGAGACAGGAAAACAUAGCAUGCAGACAUUAGCGACAGGUCUUACAGGCGGAAAAGGCUUGCCAAAGGAAAAAAAAUACACACCACAACAUCUCUCCUAUUGGUGGAAAACUUCACCACAACAACCAAUCCAAAAUUAUAUGGUGACUGAUUGACAAGGGGCGGGAACUUACGUUCUUCCUGCAAUAUGAGAAGGGAGGGAGGGACUCUCAGCAGGGAUGCAGUCUGGGACACGUAGUUGCAAACCUAGCGACUUUGUUGUUAGAUUCAAUGACUUUUCAGACCCCCUAACGACUUUUUUUUAGAAAGAAAGUGACUUUUAUCGACUUCUUCUGGAGUUUAGAGACUCUGACAUGAAGCAGGCUUUCCUUACUGAGGAGUUAGCAACGCUGCUAAGGGUGCAGAGCCACACAUGCGCUCCGAGCUCUGCAUGGGAGACUGAAGCUGACAGAGCUGCAGCAGUUAGCAGGUUUCACCCUCAGAGACCACCAGGGGUUCAUGUUGAGGCAUUUUCAGUUUUUUUUUUUUUUUUUUUGCCAUAGACACUGUCAGCACAAUCUGCAGUUACACUAACAAAAAUGCUGCAAAAAACAAAGAAUUAUGGAAAAAUUACACAUGGACUAACAUAGAGGAGGAUCUACACAAGUUUUUUACAUCAUGUUUUACAUCAUGCAUCAUUUACAUCAUGUUUUUUUGUAGUGGCAUAAAUAAAAAGUGACAUUUGUGAGACUAUACAGUGUUUUGUAAAUAAUUUUACAAAGAACACCUGGGCCAUUGCCUGCAUUUUGAUGUCAAUAGAGGUAAAUUACUAUGUUCUUUGUUAAAAAUUUGCAUAUGUUUUGAAGUUUACAAUUUUUAUUUGAAGUUUAAGUUUUAAAAACAGUUCAUCACACAUAUUUGUGGUUUUCACAGUAAAAACGUUACUUUUUUCCACUCGGAUUUUAUGUUUUGUGUGUGAAUUUGGGUCCAAUGUGUAAAUAUAGUAUGUCAAAAUGAUAAAAUAACUGUAAAUUGACACAGGUGAGGUUGUGCUGAAAAAAAUGAUACCAGGCAAGGCAAGGUAAAAAUUUUGUAAGAGGAAAUAUAAAGGUAAAAUCUAAAGUAGUCAAAAACGGCCAAAAGUGACUCACAGACUCCACAGACAAGUCCCUCUGGCGCCACUCAGUGGGCAAAACUACUUUGUCUACUGUAAUGUAUAUUUGGGUCAUCUUUGGCGCCCCCUAAAACGUAAACCGUGGGGUGCAGCGUCAUGAUUUUUACAACUUUGAAUGGCCAUGGAGUGUAGAUUGGCCUGAGCAAAUUUGGUGUCAGUGGGACGAAAGCCUUAGGAGGAGUUAGCGAAAUUCCAAUGUGUGCGAAUCGGCAAAAAAUGCAAAAUAGCCCUUUUACCGUACAUUAUACAGAUACGCGCUCUUUGACUUUUUCGUAGAUCUAAUUGAGAUACACAUGAUUGUCAAUUUUUGUGUCAUUUUGCCAAAGCGUACAGGCGUGACAGUCAACAAUGUGUAUUUUCACCUUAGGGGACAAGAAAAAAUGGACUUUUUUCUCCUGCCAUGGGGGGGCGCUCUUUUGGGGAGUAAAAAUUCCUUCACAAAUGUGUUGAUGGCUGGACAUUACAUCAUCCUAGAAAACUUGGAGGCCAGUGAGGACAAAAAUAAAAAGUUAUAAGACUUUUAAAAAUGUGGAUUUUUGGGUUAUCUUUGGCGCCCCCUAGAACGUAAACCGUGGGGUGCAGCGUCAUGAUUUGAAUAACUUUUAAUGGCCAUGGGGUGUAGAUUGGCCUGAGCAAAUGUGGUGCCGGUGGAACGAAAGCCUUCGGAGGAGUUAGCGAAAUUCCAAUGUGUGCGGAUCGGCAAAAAAUGCGAAAUAACCCUUUAACCGUACAUUAGACAGAUACGCGCGCAUGGACUUUUUUGUAGAUCUUAUUGAGAUACAUGUGUGUGUCAAUUUUUGUGUCAUUUUGACAAAGCGUACAGGCGUGACAGUCAAUAGUGUGAAUUUUCACCUUAGGGGACAAGAAAAAAUGGACUUUUUUCUCCUGCCAUGGGGGGGCACUCUUUUGGGGAGUAAAAAUUCCUUCACAAAUGUGUUGAUGGCUGGACAUUGCAUCAUCCUAGAAAACUUGGAGGCCAGUGAGGGCAAAAAUAAAAAGUUAUAAGACUUUUAAAUAUGUGGAUUUUAGGGUUAUCUUUGGCGCCCCCUAGAACCUAAACCGUGGGGUGCAGCGUCAUGAUUUGAAUAACUUUUAAUGGCCAUGGGGUGUAGAUUGGCCUGAGCAAAUGUGGUGCCGGUGGAACGAAAGCCUUCGGAGGAGUUAGCGAAAUUCCAAUGUGUGCGGAUCGGAAAAAAUGCGAAAUAACCCUUUAACCGUACAUUUGACAGAUACGCCCGCACUGACUUUUUUGUAGAUCUUAUUGAGAUACAUGUGUGUGUCAAUUUUUGUGUCAUUUUGACAAAGCGUACAGGCGUGACAGUCAAUAGUGUGAAUUUUCACCUUAGGGGGCGCUAUGGAGCCAUUUUGCAUUUUCUUAUUUGGGCGACUUCGGAAUAUCAAAUUUUUCACCAGGCCCGGUCGUCCUGCCAAAUUUCAUGAGUUUUCGCCAGUGGGAAGUGGGCCAUUUUCCAGUUCAAAGGGGAGGAAAAAGAAGAAAGAAAGAAACAAAGAAAAACCACUUGGGGAAUAAUAGGGCUCUCGCAGCUGCUUAGCAGCUACGCUCGGGCCCUAAGAAAGAAAGAAACAAAGACUAGGGCCCCGGUGGGGCACUGUCGGGCCCGAGCCGCGUCGAGCCGCCCCCAGCGCGACCGCCUCCCCCUCCCGAUCGCGUCACACUCAAGGUC
Molecule: long non-coding RNA, 24976 nt
Filed under: Xyrichtys novacula (pearly razorfish)
Lineage: Eukaryota; Metazoa; Chordata; Actinopteri; Labriformes; Labridae
Source: RNAcentral